This 658-nucleotide ribosomal RNA is filed under the name Hynobius kimurae (Hida salamander). Its description in RNAcentral is "partial 12S ribosomal RNA". It matches the Rfam family "Bacterial small subunit ribosomal RNA", at positions 555 to 1526 of the family's 1533-position model. The record is from RNAcentral. Lineage: Eukaryota; Metazoa; Chordata; Amphibia; Caudata; Hynobiidae.
ACGGCCUAAAGCGUGAUUAAAUUAUAUUAAAUUAAAUAGAAAUAAAAAUUAACUUAACUGUCGCACGUAUUUGUUAAACGGAGAACCAAAAACCGAAAGAUAUUCUAAUAAAUAAAUUACUUGAAUUCACGAAAGCUAAGAAACAAACUAGGAUUAGAUACCCUACUAUGCUUAGCCUUAAACUUUGGAGCCUACCCGCCUGAGUACUACGAGCCACAGCUUAAAACUCAAAGGACUUGGCGGUGCUCUACUCCCCCUAGAGGAGCCUGUUCUAUAAUCGAUAACCCCCGCUAAACCUCACCACUUAUUGCUAAUACCGCUUAUAUACCGCCGUCGUCAGCUCACCAUUUAAAUGAAUAAUAGUAAGCAUAAUGAUAAACAUAAAAACGUCAGGUCAAGGUGUAGCGGAUUAAGUGGAAAGAAAUGGGCUACAUUUUCUAAAUCAGAAAAAUACGAAAAAUUUAAUGAAAAACUAUUUAAAGGUGGAUUUAGCAGUAAAAAGAAAACAGAGUGUUCUUUUUAAAUCGGCCCUAGAGCGCGCACACACCGCCCGUCACCCUCCUCAGAAAAACAGUUAAUUAUAUAAUAAAAGAAAAUAAAAUAAAAGAAGAGGAAAGUCGUAACAUGGUAAGUUUACCGGAAGGUGUACUUGGAUUAC